AGUCAAGUAAUUAAGUGCAUGUGGUGGAUGCCUUGGCAGUCAGAGGCGAUGAAAGACGUGAUAGCCUGCGAAAAGCUCCGGGGAGGCGGCAAAUAUCCUUUGAUCCGGAGAUGUCUGAAUGGGGAAACCCACCUACUUUAAGGUAGGUAUUGCAACAUGAAUACAUAGUGUUGCAAGGCGAACGAGGGGAAGUGAAACAUCUCAGUACCCUUAGGAAAAGAAAUCAAUUGAGAUUCCCUCAGUAGCGGCGAGCGAACGGGGAUCAGCCCAUUAAGUUAUGUGUGUUUUAGUGGAACGCUCUGGGAAGUGCGAACGUAGAGGGUGAUAUUCCCGUACACGAAAGGGCACACAUAAUGAUGACGAGUAGGGCGAGGCACGUGAAACCUUGUCUGAAUAUGGGGGGACCAUCCUCCAAGGCUAAAUACUCCUGACUGACCGAUAGUGAACCAGUACCGUGAGGGAAAGGCGAAAAGAACCCCUGUGAGGGGAGUGAAAUAGAUCCUGAAACCGCAUGCAUACAAGCAGUGGGAGCACCUUCGUGNNNNNNNNNNNNNNNNNNNNNNNNNNNNNNNNNNNNNNNNNNNNNNNNNNNNNNNNNNNNNNNNNNNNNNNNNNNNNNNNNNNNNNNNNNNNNNUUGUGGUGUGACUGCGUACCUUUUGUAUAAUGGGUCAGCGACUUAUAUUCAGUAGCGAGGUUAACCGUAUAGGGGAGCCGUAGAGAAAUCGAGUCUUAAUAGGGCGUUUAGUUGCUGGGUAUAGACCCGAAACCAGGCGAUCUAUCCAUGAGCAGGUUGAAGGUUGGGUAACACUAACUGGAGGACCGAACCCACUGUCGUUGAAAAGCCAGGGGAUGACUUGUGGAUAGGGGUGAAAGGCUAAUCAAGCCUGGUGAUAGCUGGUUCUCCCCGAAAGCUAUUUAGGUAGCGCCUCGGACGAAUACCAUAGGGGGUAGAGCACUGUUUCGGCUAGGGGGUCAUCCCGACUUACCAAACCGAUGCAAACUCCGAAUACCUAUGAGUACUAUCCGGGAGACAGACUGCGGGUGCUAACGUCCGUAGUCAAGAGGAAAACAAUCCAGACCGCCAGCUAAGGCCCCAAAAUCAUAGUUAAGUGGGAAACGAUGUGGGAAGGCAUAGACAGCUAGGAGGUUGGCUUAGAAGCAGCCACCCUUUAAAGAAAGCGUAAUAGCUCACUAGUCGAGUCGGCCUGCGCGGAAGAUGUAACGGGGCUAAAACUAUGUGCCGAAGCUGCGGAUGUAUACUUUGUAUACGUGGUAGGGGAGCGUUCUGUAAGCCGAUGAAGGUGUGUUGAGAAGCAUGCUGGAGGUAUCAGAAGUGCGAAUGCUGACGUGAGUAACGACAAAACGGGUGAAAAACCCGUUCGCCGAAAGACCAAGGGUUCCAGUCCAACGUUAAUCGGGGCUGGGUGAGUCGACCCCUAAGGCGAGGCCGAAAGGCGUAGUCGAUGGGAAAAUGGUUAAUAUUCCAUUACUUCUGUGUAAUGCGAUGAGAGGACGGAGAAGGCUAAAUCAGCCUGGCGUUGGUUGUCCAGGUGAAAGGAUGUAGGCAUGUAUCUUAGGCAAAUCCGGGGUACUCUAUGCUGAGAUCUGAUAGCAAGCUGUACUUGUACAGCGAAGUGGUUGAUGCCAUGCUUCCAGGAAAAGUCUCUAAGCUUCAGUUACACAGGAAUCGUACCCGAAACCGACACAGGUGGUCAGGUCGAGUAGACCAAGGCGCUUGAGAGAACUCUGCUGAAGGAACUAGGCAAAAUGGUACCGUAACUUCGGGAGAAGGUACGCUGUUGUUGGUGAUGGAACUCGCUUCCUGAGCUGACGACAGCCGCAGAAACCAGGCCGCUGCAACUGUUUAUUAAAAACAUAGCACUCUGCAAACACGAAAGUGGACGUAUAGGGUGUGAUGCCUGCCCGGUGCUGGAAGGUUAAUUGAUGGGGUUAGCGUAAGCGAAGCUCUUGAUCGAAGCCCCAGUAAACGGCGGCCGUAACUAUAACGGUCCUAAGGUAGCGAAAUUCCUUGUCGGGUAAGUUCCGACCUGCACGAAUGGCAUAAUGAUGGCGGCGCUGUCUCCAGCAGAGGCUCAGUGAAAUCGAAAUCGCUGUGAAGAUGCAGUGUACCCGCGGCUAGACGGAAAGACCCCGUGAACCUUUACUGCAGCUUGACACUGAACUUUGACCUUACUUGUGUAGGAUAGGUGGGAGGCUUUGAAGCUGGAACGCUAGUUCCAGUGGAGCCGUCCUUGAAAUACCACCCUGGUAAUGUUGAGGUUCUAACUCUGUCCCGUGAUCCGGGACGAGGACCGUGUCUGGUGGGUAGUUUGACUGGGGCGGUCUCCUCCUAAAGAGUAACGGAGGAGUACGAAGGUGCGCUCAGCGUGGUCGGAAAUCACGCGUAGAGUAUAAAGGCAAAAGCGCGCUUAACUGCGAGACCCACAAGUCGAGCAGGUACGAAAGUAGGUCUUAGUGAUCCGGUGGUUCUGUAUGGAAGGGCCAUCGCUCAACGGAUAAAAGGUACUCUGGGGAUAACAGGCUGAUACCGCCCAAGAGUUCAUAUCGACGGCGGUGUUUGGCACCUCGAUGUCGGCUCAUCUCAUCCUGGGGCUGAAGCAGGUCCCAAGGGUAUGGCUGUUCGCCAUUUAAAGAGGUACGCGAGCUGGGUUUAGAACGUCGUGAGACAGUUCGGUCCCUAUCUACCGUGGGCGCUGGAAAUUUGAGAGGAUCUGCUCCUAGUACGAGAGGACCAGAGUGGACGAACCUCUGGUGUACCGGUUGUGACGCCAGUCGCAUCGCCGGGUAGCUAUGUUCGGAAGGGAUAACCGCUGAAAGCAUCUAAGCGGGAAGCCUACCUCAAGAUAAGAUUUCCCUAGGACUUUAUGUCCUCUAAAGAGCCGUUCGAGACUAGGACGUUGAUAGGUUGGAUGUGGAAGCAUAGUGAUAUGUGAAGCUGACCAAUACUAAUUGCUCGUGAGGCUUGACUAU
RNAcentral lists this ribosomal RNA (2992 nucleotides) under Acinetobacter baumannii. RNAcentral describes it as "23S ribosomal RNA". It matches the Rfam family "Bacterial large subunit ribosomal RNA". The record is from RNAcentral. Lineage: Bacteria; Pseudomonadati; Pseudomonadota; Gammaproteobacteria; Moraxellales; Moraxellaceae.